RNAcentral lists this long non-coding RNA (1065 nucleotides) under Pogona vitticeps (central bearded dragon). RNAcentral's name for it is "lncRNA (ENSPVIG00000021858.1)". The record is from RNAcentral. Lineage: Eukaryota; Metazoa; Chordata; Lepidosauria; Squamata; Agamidae.
AUGGUAGCAGCACUCAGCCAUCCAGAGUUCCAUCCCCUCAAACUAGCCAAUCGACAUAUAUCACUUCUGUUAUACGCAGAUGAUGCAGUCCUAAUUUCACAGAUACCAAUAGGACUUAAGAGAGCUUUAUAUGCUCUCGCACAAUACUGUAAAGAAGAAAUGCUACAGAUAAAUUACUCGAAGACCAAAGUGUUAGUGUUCGCUCAGAGGCCCAGGAUCUAUAAGUGGUUAAUAGAUGAGCAUGAGAUUGAACAAAUUAAGGCCUAUAAAUAUUUGGGCGUUGUUUUCCAAUAUAAAGGAAACCACAAGGCCCAUGUUAACAACGUGGUACAAGCAGCACAAAAAUCUAGCCUUACUAUACUAAAAUUCUUCUAUUCUAAGGGAGGCCAGUACAUUCCAGCUGCACUAAGAUUGUUUCAGGCCAAAUCCCUUAGUCAGCUCUUGUAUGGGGCACAAUUGGGCCCCUAUUCUUCGUUUAUCCAGUUAGAAGUAGUUCAGUCCAAAUUUGUGAGGGCUAUAUUACAAGUUCCAAGAGGGGUAUCUAAUGCAGCCCUCAGGCUUGAAGUGGGCUACCUGAAGGUUGAAGCCAGAGCUUGGCUGGCUAUUUUUAACUUUUGGCUAAAACUAACCUUUCAACCAAUUGGACUGACUUCACUGGUAUUACAGGAUAACCAUCAGUCACCUUGGAAGACAGCAAUAUACUAUAAAAUCAACAGAUACGACUAUUCAGUAGAAAGUAUCCAACAAAUGGGAUACGUUAAGGCCAAGAGUAAUCUUAGGCAGCGUAUUAUUGAGACAGAAAGGCAGCAGGAUCUUGCUAUUAUCAGAAAUAGGUUUACAGUUGACAACACAUUGCUCCCACUGAAACCAGCAAAAUAUCUCUACUUACCCCUAACACCUAAACAACACGAAGCUCUUACUUUGGCCCGCUUCAAUGCACUUCCGUCAGCAGUCCAGGAAGGGAAGUAUAACAACAACCCCUACACUAAGCUUUUAUGCCCCUGUAACUCUGGUGAGAUUGAAUCUUAUCUCCCAUGUAUUACUACAUUGUGCUUUUUAUUCUGA